This 440-nucleotide ribosomal RNA is filed under the name uncultured bacterium. RNAcentral describes it as "partial 16S ribosomal RNA". It matches the Rfam family "Bacterial small subunit ribosomal RNA", at positions 338 to 795 of the family's 1533-position model. The record is from RNAcentral.
CCUACGGGCGGCAGCAGUGGGGGAUAUUGCACAAUGGGGGAAACCCUGAUGCAGCGACGCCGCGUGAGUGAAGAAGUAUUUCGGUAUGUAAAGCCCUAUCAGCAGGGAAGAAAAUGACAGUACCUGACCAAGAAGCCCCGGCUAACUACGUGCCAGCAGCCGCGGUAAUACGUAGGGGGCAAGCGUUAUCCGGAUUUACUGGGUGUAAAGGGGGCGUAGACGGUUAUGUAAGUCUGGAGUGAAAGCCCGGGGCCCAACCCCGGGACUGCUUUUGAAACUGGGUAACUGGAGUACAGGAGGGGCAGGCGGAAUUCCUGGUGUAGCGGUGAAAUGCGUAGAUAUCAGGAAGAACACCGGCGGCGAAGGCGGUCUGCUGGACUGAAACUGACGUUGAGGCUCGAAAGCGUGGGGAGCAAACAGGAUUAGAUACCCCAGUAGUC